UAAUCCACAGCUUUUUAUACCAGUAGACACACAAAUAGGUAUAAUGUGCUGUUUAUUGCCUUUUUGGGUUGAACUAAUGAUGCUUCCUUUUCCUUUGUGUCUCAGAAAAAAACCCAACAGCUUUGCCUUGGAGGUUAAUGCAGUCACAUGCUAAAAAGAAGUGUAAGGUCAGAGAAAAAGGAAGAGGCCAGCAUGGAUUUCACCACCAGAUGACAUACAUCCCAACGCACUCUCUGCUAGGAAUGAGGCAGAUUCUGGCUUCCCUUCUGAAGGAGGCAGCUCCCAGAAAGGCUCAUCCGGAGCUUGCAGGCUAUGCAGGUGAAGGAAGCAGGGGGGAAGGACAGCCUGGUGCUUCAGUAGGAGACAGCAGUGAAUACUUGUGGGCAAGGGAAUGGAUACGUCCUAAUGAACAAGUUGGACUCUGUGUGAGGCAGCAUCUUCCAGCCUCCCUGAUAGCAGGAGCCCAUCAGGCCAAACACAGCUGGCAGCAGCCCUCCAUCCUGGUGGUAAGACCAGAAUGGAUCAUGUGAUCAUCUGCAUGAAACAUCUAAAUUCUCGCUCGGGUAAGAGAGAACAGCAAUAAAGAAACUUUGAGGGCUGAUUUAACAAUCCCCUGUGAUGGAUCUUGUCAUCAGGAGCUGUCUUGAAAUGGAUGUGUUUCCCCCGAGUGUUAAUUACAACUGAACGUUGAACUUGAAG
Molecule: non-coding RNA, 699 nt
Organism: Phalacrocorax carbo (great cormorant)
Lineage: Eukaryota; Metazoa; Chordata; Aves; Suliformes; Phalacrocoracidae
Source: RefSeq, a predicted model, not a curated record